RNAcentral lists this ribosomal RNA (253 nucleotides) under uncultured bacterium. RNAcentral describes it as "partial 16S ribosomal RNA". It matches the Rfam family "Bacterial small subunit ribosomal RNA", at positions 524 to 776 of the family's 1533-position model. The record is from RNAcentral.
UACGGGGGGGGCAAGCGUUGUUCGGAAUUACUGGGCGUAAAGGGUUUGUAGGUGGCUUGUUAAGUCAGACGUGAAAUCCCUCAGCUUAACUGGGGAACUGCGUCUGAUACUGGCGAGCUUGAGUGCAGGAGAGGAACGCGGAAUUCCAGGUGUAGCGGUAAAAUGCGUAGAUAUCUGGAGGAACACCGGUGGCGAAGGCGGCGUUCUGGACUGCAACUGACACUGAGAAACGAAAGCCAGGGUAGCAAACGGG